UGAGGGUAGGGGUGAAAGGCUAAUCAAACUUGGAGAUAGCUCGUACUCCCCGAAAUGCAUUUAGGUGCAGCGUGCAAAAAGUUUAACAGAGGUAGAGCGACUGAUUGGAUGCGAGGCUUUCACCGGCUAUCAAGUUCAGACAAACUCCGAAUGCUGUUAAAUGUUUUUGUGCAGUGAGGGCACGGGUGCUAAGGUCCGUGUCCGAGAGGAGAAGAAUCCAGACCAUCAGCUAAGGUCCCGAAAUAAUAGCUAAGUUGAACUAACGAAGUCGAACUGCAUAGACAGCUAGGAUGUUGGCUUGGAAGCAGCCAUUCAUUUAAAGAGUGCGUAACAGCUCACUAGUCGAGCGGUUUGGCGUGGAUAAUAAUCGGGCAUAAGCUAUUUACCGAAGCUGUGGAAUAUAAUAUAUUGGUAGGGGGGCAUUCCAUAUUCGUUGAAGAUAGAGGGUUACCUUUAUUGGAGGGUAUGGAAAAGCAAAUGUAGGUAUAAGUAACGAUAAGGAGGGCGCGAACCCCUCCCGCCGGAAGACUGAGGGUUCCUGAACAACGUUAAUCGGUUCAGGGUUAGUCGGGACCUAAGGAGAAGCCGAAAGGCGCAUCUGAUGGAAGAACAGGUUAAUAAUCCUGUACUGGCGUAUGGAGCGAAGUGGGGACGGAGAAGUGAAAGUCCUGCGUACUGACGGAAUAGUACGUUGAAGGGUGUAGGUGUAGAUAUUCGUAGGCAAAUCCGCGAAUAGAGCCGAACCUGAAAGUACCGAGCGUCUUCGGACAAUCGGAUAUGGAUGUAAUCAGACUCCCUAGAAAAACCGCUAAGCAUAUUCAUACGGCACCCGUACCAUAAACGGACACACGUGGUCAAGUAUAAAGUAUUAAGGCGCUCGAGUGAUCCGCGGCUAAGGAACUAGGCAAAAUAGUCCUGUAACUUCGGAAAAAGGGACACCUACCCAGUGAUGGGAGGUCGCAGAAGAAUGGCCCAGGCGACUGUUUAACAAAAACAUAGGGCUUUGCCAAAUCGCAAGAUGAAGUAUAAGGCCUGACACCUGCCCGGUGCUGGAAGGUUAAGAGGAGAUGUCAUCGCAAGAGAAGCAUUGAAUUGAAGCCCCAGUAAACGGCGGCCGUAACUAUAACGGUCCUAAGGUAGCGAAAUUCCUUGUCGGGUAAGUUCCGACCUGCACGAAUGGUGUAACGAUCUGGGCACUGUCUCAGCCGCGAGCUCGGUGAAAUUGUAGUAUCGGUGAAGAUGCCGAUUACCCGCAACGGGACGAAAAGACCCCGUGAACCUUUACUGCAACUUAACAUUGAAUUUGGGUAAUUGAUGUGUAGGAUAGGCCGGAGGCUAUGAAGCAGGUACGCCAGUAUUUGUGGAGCCGUUGUUGAAAUACGGUCCUUCAGUUAUUUGAGUUCUAACCCGUAGAAAUGGGGACACUGUUUGGUGGGUAGUUUGACUGGGGUGGUCGCCUCCAAAAGAGUAACGGAGGCUUCCAAAGGUACCCUCAGGCCGAUUGGUAACCGGUCGCAGAGUGUAAUGGUAUAAGGGUGCUUGACUGCGAGACAAACAAGUCGAACAGGUAGGAAACUAGGGCAUAGUGAUCCGGUGGUUCCGUAUGGAAGGGCCAUCGC
RNAcentral lists this ribosomal RNA (1619 nucleotides) under human metagenome. Its description in RNAcentral is "bacterial LSU rRNA". It matches the Rfam family "Bacterial large subunit ribosomal RNA", at positions 810 to 2448 of the family's 2925-position model. The record is from RNAcentral.